RNAcentral lists this ribosomal RNA (460 nucleotides) under uncultured bacterium. RNAcentral describes it as "partial 16S ribosomal RNA". It matches the Rfam family "Bacterial small subunit ribosomal RNA", at positions 338 to 795 of the family's 1533-position model. The record is from RNAcentral.
CCUACGGGAGGCUGCAGUGAGGAAUAUUGGUCAAUGGGCGGGAGCCUGAACCAGCCAAGUCGCGUGAGGGAAGACGGUCCUAUGGAUUGUAAACCUCUUUAGGCGGGGAGCAAUGCCGGGCACGCGUGCCCGGAGGGAGAGUACCCGCAGAAUAAGCAUCGGCUAACUCCGUGCCAGCAGCCGCGGUAAUACGGAGGAUGCGAGCGUUAUCCGGAUUGAUUGGGUUUAAAGGGUGCGUAGGCGGAGUUUUAAGUCAGCGGUAAAAUGUUCGGGCUCAACCCGGGCCGGCCGUUGAAACUGGGGAUCUUGAGUGGGCGAGAAGUAGGCGGAAUGCGUGGUGUAGCGGCGAAAUGCAUAGAUAUCACGCAGAACUCCGAUUGCGAAGGCAGCAUACCGGCGCCCGACUGACGCUGAGGCGCGAAAGCGUGGGGAGCAAACAGGAUUAGAUACCCGGGUAGUC